AAUAAAGUGCCUGAUAAAAGGAUUAUUCUGAUAGAGUAAGCAAUGUAAUUUAUAUUUACCUUUAUUA
This 67-nucleotide transfer RNA is filed under the name Ampittia subvittatus. RNAcentral's name for it is "tRNA-Ile". The record is from RNAcentral. Lineage: Eukaryota; Metazoa; Arthropoda; Insecta; Lepidoptera; Hesperiidae.